This 459-nucleotide ribosomal RNA is filed under the name uncultured bacterium. RNAcentral's name for it is "partial 16S ribosomal RNA". It matches the Rfam family "Bacterial small subunit ribosomal RNA", at positions 338 to 795 of the family's 1533-position model. The record is from RNAcentral.
CCUACGGGCGGCAGCAGUGAGGAAUAUUGGUCAAUGGACGGAAGUCUGAACCAGCCAUGCCGCGUGCAGGAAGACGGCUCUAUGAGUUGUAAACUGCUUUUGUACAAGGGUAAACCUGAAUACGUGUAUUCAGCUGAAAGUACUGUACGAAUAAGGAUCGGCUAACUCCGUGCCAGCAGCCGCGGUAAUACGGAGGAUCCAAGCGUUAUCCGGAUUUAUUGGGUUUAAAGGGUGCGCAGGCGGCCUGUUAAGUCAGCGGUAAAAGCCCGGGGCUCAACCCCGGCGAGCCGUUGAAACUGGCGGGCUGGAGUUGGAGAGAAGUACGCGGAAUGCGCGGUGUAGCGGUGAAAUGCUUAGAUAUCGCGCAGAACCCCGAUUGCGAAGGCAGCGUACCGGCUCCACACUGACGCUGAGGCACGAAAGCGAGGGUAUCGAACAGGAUUAGAUACCCGUGUAGUC